Molecule: long non-coding RNA, 601 nt
Filed under: Vulpes vulpes (red fox)
Lineage: Eukaryota; Metazoa; Chordata; Mammalia; Carnivora; Canidae
Description: lncRNA (ENSVVUG00000002553.1)
Source: RNAcentral
CUCUUAACCAGUGGUAAGUAGAAUGAAGACAUUUAUGUACAGUAUGGUCUCUGAAAAUUUGCCUGCUGCGUAUUCUUUUUAGGAAGCUCCUUCAGAAUGAACUGCAGCAAAAGCAAAUGAGCAAACCAAGAGAGAAAAAGACAUUGGAUUUGGGACAGCAUGACUGAAUACAGGAGAGCAAUAAUGGGCCUUCCCAGAAAGAUGUCCAUGCAGGAUGUCCUGAGAUCCCUGAGCCAGUGCUGAAGCCAGGAUACGGUGGAACUUCAGAGGAAGGUCAUUAAGGAAAAAGGCCCCUGUGUGCCGUGAGGCCCCGGGUCUCCACCGCUGUCUCCUGGCCCGGCAGGAUCUGUGUAUCCUGGUGACUGAGCAAUGCACCUUCUCAAGGCCCAACCAGGCCUGCCUCAUCUGAAGCUUUAACAAGCCGAAUGGGGUCCAAAGUUGCUUCCCACACUUGGAAAACAAGAAUAGUUACCCAUCCCACCCGCUCUUACCCCUACCCCGGCCCAAUAGAAAAAAGAAAAACACAACAGUAUGUAUUAAAAGUAGUUUUCCAUUUAGUUCCUGGCUAAAUUUGUAUGAGAAGUUAUGAAAAGAUAGAUAA